This 1041-nucleotide long non-coding RNA is filed under the name Homo sapiens (human). RNAcentral describes it as "HSALNT0244691". The record is from RNAcentral. Lineage: Eukaryota; Metazoa; Chordata; Mammalia; Primates; Hominidae.
CAAAAGUGCUGCGUGGCCAUUGUUUCUGACAGUUCAUUUAUGCAGAUGAAACAAUCCAUUCAUUUGGUGAAUCCAUGGAAUUAAUGGCUUCCACUUUGUACUUUCUGAAAAAUAUACAGCGUUUCAGGCCUCUGGAUUUACAUUCUACAGAGUUUCUGGUAUAAUGGAAUAGUUUCAGGUCCCUGGAGGGCAGGUAUAUGGCUCUGCAAGAGUGUUGAUGGCUUUCCUAACACACAGGCGUGUGCAUUUCUAAAUGUUCUCACUUGGGGCAGAUUUUUAAACAGCCCUUUGACACAGUGUGGGAGAAAUGCUUCUCAGUGACCAUUUCUGAGGAAAGUUGCUUAGAGACUUGGGCCCUAGUGCUGAAAUGUGACCAAGUCAUCUUCUCCUUCAGGCAAGAGGCUUCUAAACUGAGAGAGCAGCAACAUUUCAGGACUUCUUGGGUGGAAGAAAGUUGGCAGAGAGAACGUCCACAGAAGAAGAAACCAUUCUUUCCACCCACGUGACAUUAAAGGAAACAUAAAGAUGGGACUAAUUCUGCAGCAUUGUCUAGGGUAGGGACACAAUUCUCCCGAGAAGUUGCUUUGACCUUGGAAUUUACAUAUGCCUAGAUAUCUGAAAACUUACAUAAUUAAAUCGUCUCUCUUCAUUGUUCUAAACUUAAUUUUCCUCCAUUCCCAGUCUUGGGGCCUUGAGUCCUUUGGAUAAGUUGCUGAAUUCUCUCCUUUGUAUUGACCGUAUUGACAUGGCCUCAGAGGAAAGUCAAAUUUCAGGCUGAGUACAUAUGUAAGAAUUCACUUCCAACAUCUUGAUGUGAGCCAGAGGUCUGCCUUACAGUAACAAAGACAAAUGCAGAAGGAAAUUCAGGCUGACAAAUACCAGUCCCACCUGUGUUGGUUAAUAAGCAAGACUGCAGCCCAGCCAGCAAUCCUCCGGUAACUGUCAUUUCUCUGUAUCCAAUCAGUUGCCUGGGAAUUAUCCCAAUAAAAAGAAUACAGUGUGUCAUUUAUCAGGCAGCCAAUUAAAGGGCCUCUACAGCAC